AUGAACGCUGGCGGCGUGCCUAAUACAUGCAAGUCGAGCGAACAGACGAGGAGCUUGCUCCUCUGACGUUAGCGGCGGACGGGUGAGUAACACGUGGAUAACCUACCUAUAAGACUGGGAUAACUUCGGGAAACCGGAGCUAAUACCGGAUAAUAUAUUGAACCGCAUGGUUCAAUAGUGAAAGACGGUUUUGCUGUCACUUAUAGAUGGAUCCGCGCCGCAUUAGCUAGUUGGUAAGGUAACGGCUUACCAAGGCAACGAUGCGUAGCCGACCUGAGAGGGUGAUCGGCCACACUGGAACUGAGACACGGUCCAGACUCCGACGGGAGGCAGCAGUAGGGAAUCUUCCGCAAUGGGCGAAAGCUUGACGGAGCAACGCCGCGUGAGUGAUGAAGGUCUUCGGAUCGUAAAACGCUGUUAUUAGGGAAGAACAAAUGUGUAAGUAACUAUGCACGUCUUGACGGUACCUAAUCAGAAAGCCACGGCUAACUACGU
RNAcentral lists this ribosomal RNA (495 nucleotides) under uncultured bacterium. RNAcentral describes it as "partial 16S ribosomal RNA". It matches the Rfam family "Bacterial small subunit ribosomal RNA", at positions 29 to 506 of the family's 1533-position model. The record is from RNAcentral.